This 279-nucleotide ribosomal RNA is filed under the name uncultured bacterium. Its description in RNAcentral is "partial 16S ribosomal RNA". It matches the Rfam family "Bacterial small subunit ribosomal RNA", at positions 506 to 784 of the family's 1533-position model. The record is from RNAcentral.
UGCCAGCAGCCGCGGGAAUACGGAGGGGGUUAGCGUUGUUCGGAAUUACUGGGCGUAAAGCGCACGUAGGCGGAUUAGAAAGUUAGAGGUGAAAUCCCGGGGCUCAACCCCGGAACUGCGCUUGAUACUGUUAAGCUUGAGUUCGGGAGAGGAAAGUGGAAUUUCUAGUGUAGAGGUGGAAUUCGUAGAUAUUAGAAGGAACACCAGAGGCGAAGGCGACUUUCUGGACCGAUACUGACGCUGAGGUGCGAAAGCGUGGGGAGCAAACAGGAUUAGAUA